This 596-nucleotide small RNA is filed under the name Pan troglodytes (chimpanzee). Its description in RNAcentral is "retained intron". The record is from RNAcentral. Lineage: Eukaryota; Metazoa; Chordata; Mammalia; Primates; Hominidae.
UUAUUUCGUCACAGUCCCUAAACCUGCUUCACUCCUCUCUGUGACCUGCCCGCCCCUGAGUUUGCAAUCCUGAUCAGGUCUAAAUCUCCCAGGUCCCAGAUGAAUGAACUGAAGCCCAGAGUCGGGAGUACUUUGCCCAAAGUCACUCAGGGUUGUUGGUCUUCAUCUCAUCCAUGAUGGGUCAGGCAUGGAGGCAGGGGUGGGGGCAGGCAGGACUUCCUCCCAUCACCAAAUCCUUUUCACCUGCAGCAAAUUCUCACCCCAUUUUCUUUUCCUGGGUUUUUCCACCAAGUCAAGCCGGCUCCCCCUUUCAACGUGACUGUGACCUUCUCAGGACAGUAUAAUAUCUCCUGGCGCUCAGAUUACGAAGACCCUGCCUUCUACAUGCUGAAGGGCAAGCUUCAGUAUGAGCUGCAGUACAGGAACCGGGGAGACCCCUGGGCUGUGAGUCCGAGGAGAAAGCUGAUCUCAGUGGACUCAAGAAGUGUCUCCCUCCUCCCCCUGGAGUUCCGCAAAGACUCGAGCUAUGAGCUGCAGGUGCGGGCAGCGCCCAUGCCUGGCUCCUCCUACCAGGGGACCUGGAGUGAAUGGAGUGA